This 508-nucleotide ribosomal RNA is filed under the name uncultured fungus. RNAcentral's name for it is "SSU rRNA". It matches the Rfam family "Eukaryotic small subunit ribosomal RNA", at positions 569 to 1078 of the family's 1831-position model. Lineage: Eukaryota; Fungi. The record is from RNAcentral.
AGCAGCCGCGGUAAUUCCAGCUCCAAUAGCGUAUAUUAAAGUUGUUGCAGUUAAAAAGCUCGUAGUUGAAUUUCGGGGUCAGUAGGUCGGUCGUGCCACUGGUAUGAACUGGUUUUACUGAUUCCUCCCUCUUGAAGAACUGUAAUGCCAUUAAUUUGGUGUUGCAGGGAAUCAGGACUGUUACUUUGAAAAAAUUAGAGUGUUUAAAGCAGGCUUUAGCUUGAAUACAUUAGCAUGGAAUAAUGAAAUAGGACGUUUGAUCCUAUUUUGUUGGUCUCUAGGAUUGACGUAAUGAUUAAUAGGGAUAGUUGGGGGCAUUAGUAUUCAAUUGUCAGAGGUGAAAUUCUUGGAUUUAUUGAAGACUAACUACUGCGAAAGCAUUUGCCAAGGAUGUUUUCAUUAAUCAAGAACGAAAGUUAGGGGAUCGAAGACGAUCAGAUACCGUCGUAGUCUUAACCAUAAACUAUGCCGACUAGGGAUCGGAUGAUGUUAAUUUUUUAANGACUCA